UGAGUACAGUAGAGGUGGGCGGAAUUCGUGGUGUAGCGGUGAAAUGCUUAGAUAUCACGAAGAACUCCGAUUGCGAAGGCAGCUCACUGGACUGCAACUGACACUGAUGCUCGAAAGUGUGGGUAUCAAACAGGAUUAGAUACCCUGGUAGUCCACACAGUAAACGAUGAAUACUCGCUGUUUGCGAUAUACAGUAAGCGGCCAAGCGAAAGCAUUAAGUAUUCCACCUGGGGAGUACGCCGGCAACGGUGAAACUCAAAGGAAUUGACGGGGGCCCGCACAAGCGGAGGAACAUGUGGUUUAAUUCGAUGAUACGCGAGGAACCUUACCCGGGCUUAAAUUGCAGUGGAAUGAUGUGGAAACAUGUCAGUGAGUAAUCACCGCUGUGAAGGUGCUGCAUGGUUGUCGUCAGCUCGUGCCGUGAGGUGUCGGCUUAAGUGCCAUAACGAGCGCAACCCUUAUCUUCAGUUACUAACAGGUCAUGCUGAGGACUCUGGAGAGACUGCCGUCGUAAGAUGUGAGGAAGGUGGGGAUGACGUCAAAUCAGCACGGCCCUUACGUCCGGGGCUACACACGUGUUACAAUGGGGAGUACAGAAGGCAGCUAGCGGGUGACCGUAUGCUAAUCCCAAAAUCCUCUCUCAGUUCGGAUCGAAGUCUGCAACCCGACUUCGUGAAGCUGGAUUCGCUAGUAAUCGCGCAUCAGCCACGGCGCGGUGAAUACGUUCCCGGGCCUUGUACACACCGCCCGUCAAGCCAUGGGAGCCGGGGGUACCUGAAGUACGUAACCGCAAGGAUCGUCCUAGGGUAAAACUGGUGACUGGGGCUAAGUCGUAACAAGGUAACCA
RNAcentral lists this ribosomal RNA (847 nucleotides) under uncultured bacterium. Its description in RNAcentral is "bacterial SSU rRNA". It matches the Rfam family "Bacterial small subunit ribosomal RNA", at positions 642 to 1502 of the family's 1533-position model. The record is from RNAcentral.